ACCAGGUCCUGUCGCCUCUCUGUGUCCCCCCAGGCCCUGGAGGCGCCUCAGCAGGAGGAUGAGCGUUUGUGCAUGCUGGAUUCCUGCUGCCACCUCAUUUGUCACCUUGAUACUCUACUCUCUCCUCCUGCUGGCCCUUUACACCAUGCUCAGCAGGAAAAUUGCCCAGCAUUCCUGCAGGAUGCAGGUGAGCAGCAGCCCUGCGGAGCAUCGCAGCGCUCACCCAGCUGCGGCACCGGGAGGGGACACGGCG
RNAcentral lists this long non-coding RNA (253 nucleotides) under Chloebia gouldiae (Gouldian finch). Its description in RNAcentral is "Erythrura gouldiae (Gouldian finch) lncRNA (ENSEGOG00005016247.1)". Lineage: Eukaryota; Metazoa; Chordata; Aves; Passeriformes; Passeridae. The record is from RNAcentral.